GAUGAACGCUGGCGGCGUGCCUAAUACAUGCAAGUCGAGCGAACAGACGAGGAGCUUGCUCCUCUGACGUUAGCGGCGGACGGGUGAGUAACACGUGGAUCACCUCCCUAUAAGACUGGGAACACUUCGGGAAACCGGAGCUAAUACCGGAUAAUAUAUUGAACCGCAUGGUUCAAUAGUAAGAGACGGUUUUGCUGUCACUUAUAGAUGGAUCCGCGCCGCAUUAGCUAGUUGGUAAGGUAACGGCCUACCAAGGCAACGAGGCGUAGCCGACCUGAGAGGGUGAUCGGCCACACGGGAACGGAGACACGCUCCAGACUCCUACGGGAGGCAGCAGUAGGGAACCUUCGGCAAUGGGCGAAAGCCUGACGGAGCAACGCGGCGUGAGUGAUGAAGGUCUCCGGAUCGUAAAACUCUGUUAUUAGGGAAGAACAGAUGUGGAAUUAACUAUGCACGUCUUGACGGUACCUAAUCAGAAAGCCACGGCUAACUACGUG
Molecule: ribosomal RNA, 497 nt
Filed under: uncultured bacterium
Lineage: Bacteria
Description: partial 16S ribosomal RNA
Rfam family: Bacterial small subunit ribosomal RNA
Source: RNAcentral